UACGGAGGGUCCAAGCGUUAUCCGGAAUCCUUGGGUUUAAAGGGUCCGUAGGCGGUUUUGUAAGUCAGUGGUGAAAGCCCAUCGCUCAACGGUGGAACGGCCAUUGAUACUGCAAGACUUGAAUUAUUGGGAAGUAACUAGAAUAUGUAGUGUAGCGGUGAAAUGCUUAGAGAUUACAUGGAAUACCAAUUGCGAAGGCAGGUUACUACCAAUAUAUUGACGCUGAUGGACGAAAGCGUGGGGAGCGAACAGG
This 253-nucleotide ribosomal RNA is filed under the name uncultured bacterium. RNAcentral describes it as "partial 16S ribosomal RNA". It matches the Rfam family "Bacterial small subunit ribosomal RNA", at positions 524 to 776 of the family's 1533-position model. The record is from RNAcentral.